RNAcentral lists this ribosomal RNA (516 nucleotides) under Candida tropicalis. RNAcentral describes it as "eukaryotic LSU rRNA". The stretch from base 142 to 296 matches the Rfam family "5.8S ribosomal RNA". Lineage: Eukaryota; Fungi; Ascomycota; Pichiomycetes; Serinales; Debaryomycetaceae. The record is from RNAcentral.
UCCGUAGGUGAACCUGCGGCAGCACAUGUGUUUUUUAUUGAACAAAUUUCUUUGGUGGCGGGAGCAAUCCUACCGCCGAGGUUAUAACUAAACCAAACUUUUUAUUUACAGUCAAACUUGAUUUAUUAUUACAAUAGUCAAAACUUUCAACAACGGAUCUCUUGGUUCUUGCAACCGUUGAAGAACGCAGCGAAAUGCGAUACGUAAUAUGAAUUGCAGAUAUUCGUGAAUCAUCGAAUCUUUGAACGCACAUUGCGCCCUUUGGUAUUCCAAAGGGCAUGCCUGUUUGAGCGUCAUUUCUCCCUCAAACCCCCGGGUUUGGUGUUGAGCAAUACGCUAGGUUUGUUUGAAAGAAUUUAACGUGGAAACUUAUUUUAAGCGACUUAGGUUUAUCCAAAAACGCUAAUUUUGCUAGUGGCCACCACAAUUUAUUUCAAAACUUUAACCUCAAAUCAGGUAGGACUACCCCCUAAACUUAAGCAAAAGAACCCGCAGGGGGGGAAAGGCGCCCCAGUU